This 443-nucleotide ribosomal RNA is filed under the name uncultured bacterium. RNAcentral's name for it is "partial 16S ribosomal RNA". It matches the Rfam family "Bacterial small subunit ribosomal RNA", at positions 338 to 795 of the family's 1533-position model. The record is from RNAcentral.
CCUACGGGGGGCUGCAGUGGGGAAUAUUGGGCAAUGGGCGCAAGCCUGACCCAGCAACGCCGCGGGAAGGAAGAAGGCUUUCGGGUUGUAAACGUCUUUUCUGAGGGACGAAGAAAGUGACGGUACCUCAGGAAUAAGCCACGGCUAACUACGUGCCAGCAGCCGCGGGAAUACGUAGGGGGCAAGCGUUAUCCGGAUUUAUGGGGUGUAAAGGGCGUGUAGGCGGGAAAGCAAGUCAGAUGGGAAAACUCAGGGCUCAACCCUGAGCCUGCAUUUGAAACGGUUUUUCUUGCGUGCUGGGGCGGCAAUCGGAUUUCCGUUUGUAGCGGUGCACUGCGUAGAUAUCCGGAGGAACCCCAGUGGCGCCGGCGGAUUGCUGGACCGUACCUGACGCUGAGGCGCGACAGCGUGGGGAGCACACCGGAUUAGAUCCCCGAGUAGUC